This is a non-coding RNA of Myotis lucifugus (little brown bat), 173 nucleotides long. NCBI's taxonomy places the organism in Eukaryota, Metazoa, Chordata, Mammalia, Chiroptera, Vespertilionidae. The record is from Rfam.
GCGUAAGAGUCCGGGCGGUCCAAUGUGUAUGGGGAAGAGGGCGGAGCUAGAGCGGCCUGGACUACCAUUAGGUAUAGUCGGAGACUACAUUUCCCAUGCUGCGCCGGGAACCGGAAGCACCUCGGCGCCAGUGCGCAGGCGCAAAAAGCCCCCUCUGGUUAUAUAAGAGAGAU